CAGCCUCCCGAAGUGCUGGAAUUACAGGUGUGAGCCACUGUGCCUGGCCUAUUUUGCAACAUUUUAAAAUAGUUCUUGCCAAAUUUGACCCUGACUGAGUUAUUGUAGAAUAGAAAGCCUUGUUUCAGACGUUUGGAAAGUCCCCAUACCAGUUUGAAAAUACAGAGGUGAUACUUGAGUGACUAGGGUUUUAUACUGGGAUCUCCAGCUGCUGACUUUAAGACUGGCACAGAGUUGGGGAGGGAUUGGGCCUAGGACAAACAGAAACUCCACAAGGCUUUUCUGCCAUUUUCAUUUUUAUUUCUCUUUAUCUCUCUGUUAAUAGUAUGGGGUGCUGAAUAUUAUAAUUUCAAAAUUCUUUAUUUGUUUUUAUAAUGCUGCCACUUUCUUAAUUAGGAAGUUUUAAGCAUUUUUAGACAUUUUUGACUUCAGUUAGAUUUGGUAAUGUCAUCUUUGUUGACUAAAGGUCUGUUUUAGGGAUUUAAGGAAUAUUAUACAUAUUCAUAAGAGAUGACUGAGUUAUUUCUAAGAACAUGCACAGUCUGCCCUUUGUUUCCUUCUCUUUUGACAUUACCCAAUAAUAAGUUUAAGAUUUUUUCCUUGGGAUUGUGAAGUAUAUUUUAUUAGUCUUUUGUCAAACUUCACUAUGUUUGAUCUAGCGGAAACCAGUUGCCAGCUUCCAAAUAUUCUCUCUUACUGUAGUCACACAUGCAGUGGGCCGGAUCCCCCGAUCACAAGUUGCAACUAAAAAUAUGAAAUGUAAUCCACGAGCAUUGUUCAUUAGAGACUCAGUGCCCAGAGUGUUUCCUCAUGGCUGUUUUUCUCUUGUUUUAGCUGCUUUUAACAGAAUAAGCGAAACUGGGUAAUUGAUAAGAAAUCAUACUUAGUUUUUACAGUUCUGGAGACUGUCCCAGGUCAAGGCUGGGAAUCUGGACUCAGUUGCUUUUGAGGAUGUGACUGUGAACUUUACCUGGGAAGAGUGGACUUUGCUGGGUCCUUGUCAGAAGAAUCUCUACAAAGAUGUGAUGCAGGAAACCAUCAGGAACCUGGACUGUAUAAGAAUGAAAUGGGAAGACCAGAUCAUUGAAGAUCAGUACAAAAGUCCCAGGAGAAAUGUAAUUUGCUGCCACAGGAGAAA
Molecule: long non-coding RNA, 1138 nt
Organism: Sapajus apella (tufted capuchin)
Lineage: Eukaryota; Metazoa; Chordata; Mammalia; Primates; Cebidae
Exons: 3
Source: RefSeq, a predicted model, not a curated record